Molecule: small nucleolar RNA, 334 nt
Filed under: Saccharomyces paradoxus NRRL Y-17217
Lineage: Eukaryota; Fungi; Ascomycota; Saccharomycetes; Saccharomycetales; Saccharomycetaceae
Description: Fungal small nucleolar RNA U3
Rfam family: Fungal small nucleolar RNA U3
About the family: Small nucleolar RNAs (snoRNAs) are involved in the processing and modification of rRNA in the nucleolus. There are two main classes of snoRNAs: the box C/D class, and the box H/ACA class.
Source: Rfam by way of RNAcentral
AACGCAUUCAACAGUAGGAUCAUUUCUAUAGGAAUCGUCACUCUUUGACUCUUCAAAAGAGCCACUGAAUCCAACUUGGUUGAUGAGCCCCAUAACCUUUGUACCCUAGAGUGAGGAAAUGAAAUUAAAUCUAAAUUAGCUUGGUCCGCAAUCCUUAGCGGUUCGGCCAUCUAUAAUUUUGAAUAAAAAUUUUGCUUUGCCGUUGCAUUUGUAAUUUUUUCCUUUGGAAGUUAUUACGAUAUUUAAUGGCGCGAUGAUCUUGACCCAUCCUAUGUACUUCCUUUUUGGAAGGGAUAGGACUUCAUGGGUGGGUACAAACGGCAGUCUGACAAGU